Nicotiana attenuata is the source of this 644-nucleotide long non-coding RNA. RefSeq lists it as uncharacterized. The record is from RefSeq and is a predicted model, not a curated record. The transcript has 3 exons. Lineage: Eukaryota; Viridiplantae; Streptophyta; Magnoliopsida; Solanales; Solanaceae.
AUUUUUAUCAUUCUUUUCCAAAAUUCAACAAUCUCAAAUGGCUUAUACUGAUUGUUAAUGGCGCUACCGAUUAUGGCAGUCUACUUAAAGUUACUCCACUUCUGCAGGCCUCUCCGUACCUGCAAAUGUUCGAGAUCAAGAUUACGUGGAGUAAUACACAGAUCUAUAUUCGUUCUGCAUCUAUUAUUUCUUAUGGACCUAUUCGGAAGCUAAGUUGGCAAAAUCCAUAUCCACAUCUCAAAGUGGUCAGAUAUGAAGGUUAUCUCAGGCUCAGCUGAUAAUGAGUUUAUAACUUACCUUGUUGAAAAAUCUUUAGCACUUGAGAAAUUCAUCAUUACUCCUUGCGAUCAUUCAUCAUAUUUCAAACCACAAAUACAGGGUUUAGGACAAACCUACUGGGUUCGGCCGAACCCAUAAGUUGCCUUCAAGCUCCACCCCUGAAUAUAAUGCUCCCUCCAUCUCAAAUUACGGAUGAACUCCAGAGGCUGCUGGAUGGCUGGUCUUUAACAAAAUAUGAGCUAAGCAGCUUCAGGUGUUUUCAACGAUUCCUGGAAGGUAACAUCCAACUUGGCCCCAACAUAUGCAGGGAUUUGUCAUUACGCAAUGGUAUAAGAUACAUGCAGUGUUCUUUUAGUAGACAACCA